Molecule: long non-coding RNA, 478 nt
Filed under: Ictidomys tridecemlineatus (thirteen-lined ground squirrel)
Lineage: Eukaryota; Metazoa; Chordata; Mammalia; Rodentia; Sciuridae
Description: lncRNA (ENSSTOG00000031003.1)
Source: RNAcentral
UGAGCUAUGAAGUUAAGAGCGUUUCUCUGGUCCGCCAGCGAGGGUCCUGUGGAUUAGAAACAGCGCAUAGGAGAAGAAGGAGCCUAGGUGCCAGGGGACCCAGCUGACCCGGCGGCCCUGGGAGUCUCUCCCCCCAGUCCGGGAGGCGGAGCCCCGGGAGUCGCGCGGGCCGCUGCGCCUUCCCUCUCUCGUCAGGAGGCGGGCGGCCGGGAAAUGAAGUAGAGCCCGGGCCCCGCGGGUGGGUGUCCUCGCCGCCGCCUUGGCGCAGCAGUGCGCCGCCACUCGCCUGCGGAUUGUUCUGGGGCACCUGGGCCGUCCUUUGGCCGGUGCCGUCGUAGCUUCCCCCACUUCAGGGCCUAUUGCCCCUGCCAGUUUCCAUCCUCAGCAAUUCCAGUAUACUUUGGAUAAUAAUGUGCUAAGCCUGGAACAGAGAAAAUUUUAUGAAGAAAAUGGAUUUCUUGUUAUUAAAAAUCUAGUA